GGAGAGAGGCGACACUGGUCCUUUUUCGCUGGAAUGGGAGGCGAUGUUGGUCCCUUUUCCAUCAGAAUAAGAGGCGGCGAGGGAGUUUGCUGGAACGCCGAGAUGAUGGAGAGGAGACGCCAUUUAUGGUGGUUCGCAAAGGGUCGUCGGUGGUGUGAAGAAAGGAAAAUAGUGAAAGGGAGAACGAGGCGGGAGAUGACACGAGGAACUAGUUACGUCGGCAAAAAUGUUUGCUGGCCCGAGCUGGUGGAGUGGCCACUUACGAUUGCUGGUUCUGUGAAGGUCGG
RNAcentral lists this long non-coding RNA (287 nucleotides) under Solanum tuberosum (potato). RNAcentral describes it as "long non-coding RNA (STUB_LNC010154)". Lineage: Eukaryota; Viridiplantae; Streptophyta; Magnoliopsida; Solanales; Solanaceae. The record is from RNAcentral.